UCCCAAUUCUUUGCCAGGACAAUGUCUAGUUCCACCUCCAAAGAUGAAGAAGUAAUUAUGGGACUCUAAGUUUUUGUCCAGCCAUCUCCAAGGGUUGAAGGUGAAUGGUUCAGAAUAGAGAAAAGGGUCAUAGUUUAUCUCUCUAGUAUACACAUAAAUCCUCCAUCCUUUUGGAAUGAGAAAGCCAUUUAGUUCCAUGUCCUUUGUAGUUUUCCUCAAAACCCCAUUAACAAUAGUGGCCAGCCUUGAUGUUUCAUUUAUCACCGCACGAGUGAACUUCAUUGCUUUAAGAUCAUCCCAAUCAAUGGGGUCCUCAGGAUUUUUCUUCUCUCUGAUUGCCAAAUGCUCUUCUCUGAGUUGCUGAAGAACUUUGGGAUGAUCAUGGAGAAACUUUACAGCCAUCAUAGAAGUUGUUGAAACAGUUUCAUAGCCAGAGUACAAUAGAGUGAUGAUUUGAUCAAUAAUCUCUUCAUCGUUUA
Molecule: unclassified non-coding RNA, 479 nt
Filed under: Hevea brasiliensis (rubber tree)
Lineage: Eukaryota; Viridiplantae; Streptophyta; Magnoliopsida; Malpighiales; Euphorbiaceae
Source: RNAcentral